GGUUUCGUAGUCGAGUGGUAUGAACACUUGCCUUUCACCCUGAGUCCCGGGUUCGAUCCCCGGUCGAGGGGAUCG
Molecule: transfer RNA, 75 nt
Filed under: Rhamnusium bicolor
Lineage: Eukaryota; Metazoa; Arthropoda; Insecta; Coleoptera; Cerambycidae
Description: tRNA-OTHER
Source: RNAcentral